This 253-nucleotide ribosomal RNA is filed under the name uncultured bacterium. Its description in RNAcentral is "partial 16S ribosomal RNA". It matches the Rfam family "Bacterial small subunit ribosomal RNA", at positions 524 to 776 of the family's 1533-position model. The record is from RNAcentral.
UACGGAGGGUGCAAGCGUUAUCCGGAUUCACUGGGUUUAAAGGGUGCGUAGGCGGGCAGGUAAGUCCGUGGUGAAAUCUCUGAGCUUAACUCAGAAACUGCCAUGGAUACUAUUUGUCUUGAAUGUUGUGGAGGUAAGCGGAAUAUGUCAUGUAGCGGUGAAAUGCUUAGAUAUGACAUAGAACACCAAUUGCGGAGGCAGCUUACUACACAAAUAUUGACGCUGAGGCACGAAAGCGUGGGGAUCAAACAGG